Rattus norvegicus (Norway rat) is the source of this 903-nucleotide non-coding RNA. The record is from RefSeq and is a predicted model, not a curated record. NCBI's taxonomy places the organism in Eukaryota, Metazoa, Chordata, Mammalia, Rodentia, Muridae.
GAAACAAAGAUGGCGCCGACAUCCAGCCUUGUCUGGAUAUAAACGACUUACUGCGCAUGUGCAGGCUUGUCCCCUUGCUAGGGCUCCCUCUAGUGGUGAACAGCGGUACUACACAUGUGCGGUUUAUGCACCAGGUGUCAGUUGACUGUUAAUAUGCUAAUGAGGUGAUUCAUUCUCCGCCAAUCCCUGGAGGACAAGUAGUGGGGUGAUCCAUGCCCCACCAAUCCCUGAGAGAUAAUUAGCAUACUGUUGUCUAUAUAAGUCGAGCGAUUUUGCUGCUCGGGGUCCCUGUUCAAGAGAGCUGUAACACUAAGAAGAGCUGUAACACAGUAAAGGCUUGCUCGCAGAAGAAUCCUGUUGCCGCGCGUCGUUCUUGCUGGCGGGACAUUGGGCGUGCGACAAGUGGUGCUGAAACCUGGGAACCAACAUCGCCGGUGCCGAGGGGACCCUUCAGUGUGCUGAAGAGGAUUCAGAACUGCGAGAAUAAUCAAGAAAAUCCAAUUUGGGUACCCGAGCGUUUGACUCGAAGAUUGUCUUCUGCUCUUCCUGAAGAUGAGACUACGAACCCUACUAUUACUACUGGGAAUGAACAAAGAAAUCUCGAAUUACCUGAAAGGAAACUGGUCCAUAAAAGCAGAGCAACUAUCAAGACAAUUGCUGAUACAGAUUGCUGUCCUCAACAGCACUAGGCUGGACCCCAUCACAGUUGAAGACUUUACCUCAUGGGUUACCAAUGCUUUCUCCCUUUUUAAGGAGUGGGCAGACAUGUUUGUUCCAGGGAGCUAUUGUCCUCCUGGGAUUCGGAGUAGGUCUCUGGCUUAUUGGCCGUUUAAAAAGAGAACAUGCCAGACACAAAGUGGUUGUUUACCAGGCUAUGACCACCAUUAAAAAGGGUACUUCUCC